AGUGAACGCUGGCGGUAGGCCUAACACAUGCAAGUCGAACGGCAGCACAGUAAGAGCUUGCUCUUACGGGUGGCGAGUGGCGGACGGGUGAGGAAUACAUCGGAAUCUACUUUUUCGUGGGGGAUAACGUAGGGAAACUUACGCUAAUACCGCAUACGACCUACGGGUGAAAGCAGGGGAUCUUCGGACCUUGCGCGAUUGAAUGGGCCGAUGUCGGAUUAGCUAGUUGGCGGGGUAAAGGCCCACCAAGGCGACGAUCCGUAGCUGGUCUGAGAGGAUGAUCAGCCACACUGGAACUGAGACACGGUCCAGACUCCUACGGGAGGCAGCAGUGGGGAAUAUUGGACAAUGGGCGCAAGCCUGAUCCAGCCAUACCGCGUGGGUGAAGAAGGCCUUCGGGUUGUAAGCCCUUUUGUUGGGAAAGAAAAGCAGCAGGUUAAUACCCCGCUGUUCUGACGGUACCCAAAGAAUAAGCACCGGCUAACUUCGUG
RNAcentral lists this ribosomal RNA (491 nucleotides) under uncultured bacterium. RNAcentral's name for it is "partial 16S ribosomal RNA". It matches the Rfam family "Bacterial small subunit ribosomal RNA", at positions 29 to 507 of the family's 1533-position model. The record is from RNAcentral.